GUCCGGCUGCGGGGAGCCGUCCCUGCAUGGGCGAUGGGAGCUUGGCUUCCCCCAAGGGCUUUCUGGUGGGAAAUGGGAGUCUCCCAAACUUUCCUACAGUGAGGGUUUUAUAGGCAAAACCAUGCCAAAAAUGUUUGUCUGGUCACCUUAAAACUACCCUUAUCACCCCAAAUCCUGGGUUGUGCAAAGGGGUGUUGAACACGUUCCGUGGAGCACCCAAAGGGUCCAUCACUCAGCAUCCUGAAGCUGCCUCCGAGCGAUUCCCAGGACCCAAGCGGGCUGCUGCAGCAGUUUAUGUUUGCCUAUCGAAGUGAAAUCUCUCAUGCGUGCGUGGAGCCGAGUUCCUUUCACAUAUUGCACCAGCCUCAAGUAAAUCUGUUCUUAAACAAAGAAAUGGAACUACUCGGGUCAAAUGUUCAGGGUGAUCUUGGUCUGCGUAGUAAUUACAAUCAGAGAUAUGUUAAACUACCUGAAAAUAAUUCACUUCCACAGGAAAAAAGUAUACCUACAAGUUUAUGGUUUGCGGGUCAUUGUCAUCUACCCUACUUCCACCUGCUGUAAUAAAUUCUGGUGAAAUAUCUACUACUGAGUACUGAACUUAAAGAUUUUUUUUUUUUUUUCCCAAGCCUUCAAUAUUUACCACCUUUUGCCAGAUUACGUCAUGCAACCUUCAACAAUGUUGUGACUUUUUUUUAGCUGAUGGGAUGCAGAGGAGCAGGGGACCUCAUCCGCUUGAAAUUUCUUUGAUGUUCCCCACAGGAAGUUUUUUAAUAUUUGGUCAAUUGGAUGUUUUUCAAGUAUUUCAUUGUGGUCGGGACCUAGGACAACCGUCUGCUAUUUUUGCAAGUUGGCGAUGAGAAAGGUGGACCCGUUCAUUGUGCUCUGCAACGCUUCCAGUGGCAGGGAUGAUGCUGAGCGCAUGGUCCUGUGCGAGCCUGCAGGACAGGAGCGCGGUGCCAUCAAACAUAUUUUGCAAGAGCAAAAUCUCAGUGAUUUUGAAGUUUUGGUUUCCUGAGGGUCAGCGUCCUAAGAGCAUGUUGGUGCAAUGGAGAAGGAUGAUGGUGACCUGGAAAGUAAGAGAGACGGGUUGGGGGAGCUGGAAGUAAAACCAGGUUGAGCAUCACCUGUCACGGGAGGAUUUCACUCGUAUCAGGAGUAUAUCAAAGCUUGACAAAUUCACCUGUUGGAGACUUCACACAGCUGAUUUAUUUGCCAGGACAGGUGGAGAGCUGCCCAAGCUUACUGCUGAGCAAAGUGGCAUAAGAAGAGGCACAUUAAAGAAGUUCUGCCUCUGAUUGCAGCAACGAGAGCGCGACUGUUACAGCGCCGCAAAUUAGCAGACGGUUUUAAACCAGCUCCCAAGCACUGAAAUUAAAAGCACUUAAUACAGGAAUCAUAUUCUCUAGCUAAGGCACAACGGGACUCUGGUGAAUUUAGUUUAUAAUGUUUCCGUGUUGUAACAGAAAUUUGUCUUUUUGAGGCAAUCAGGGGAGCCGCAUUACAGCAGGACUUGCAAAGAUUCGUGUUUGUGUCUAGUGGCUGCAAGUGCAUUAACUCUUUCGUGUGAACUUCUCUGCGAGUGCCACGAUUUCUUCUAUGCUGAAUUCAGUGGACCUCUGAAAAAUAACGUUCAAUUCAAGGACCUGGGAAGCGCAGAAGAACGAAAGGCUCGCCUUCUUGCCGCAGCCAGCGCUCCUCGCUGCCCGUUUCCCUCUGCCCUCCAAGGAACAGGACAAAAGCGCUUCUGUCCGCAGGUGCUCUGCUUUGCGUAUGAUUCUGAUUUCCACUCCAGAGCUCUUCAUACCCUCUCGAUGCUGUGCCAUGGCCUGAGCUGGAGCCCUGAAACCACACGAUUCCUGCACCUGCCUCUGCUACCAGCUUCCCAGGUGGCCUUUGGAAUAUUUUCAUUUAUUCACUAUAUGGUGGUUUUACACCACUCUGGCCUCUAACUUGCAUCUGAGAUUCCUGCCAUGUAUUUUAAUGCAUAAUGCAUUUUGGGAUGCAGUUUGCGUGCUACUACGUAAAAUAUGGUUGUAUUGUUCAUAUGGCAAAUCAUUUUUUAAUUCAUAAUCCUGGGACAAGCAAAAUGAAUGCAAUUUUUCUUUAAUUUUUACAGCGCGAGAGUGAACACAGUAGAGCAGAAAAGGUUUUUCUUGUUUGCGGAGCCGCGUUGCAGGGUUUGGGGCUGUGUCGUGCGUGUUGGUGGAGCGAGAUGCGAGGCAGACGUGCUCGCUUUGAUUGGUUUUGGGGGAGGUUGUGCGGUGGCGUAGCUCACAGUGGAGCUGGCACAGCUUCCAGGCCUGGGGUUAAGUUGCUCAGUUUGGUUCAAUUGGUAAUUAAUAAAAGCAAUGGCCAAUUUGACUUUAUACCAUGUGUCUGUCUGUGUGGAACCUGGCACACGCAAACCCUCUCUCUACCGAGCAAGAUGGUCAGUGUAUUUUUUUGACGUGCACAUUAUUCCGGGAACCUGGAAGCGUGUGAAGUUUCGGUGAGGGGGAAGAAGCCUCCUGGCCCCUGACAUAGGUUUAAACCCGUAGUUAAAUAUGACUUUCAAAAUGUUUUUUAAGUGCUGGUGUAGGCUCACCUCCUACAGCUUCCAGAUUUUUAGUAGAUGGGUCCAUCAGAGUUUCAGGGCAGCAUCUCAGCAGUUGGGUUGUCUCGUAAACCCAGAAGGGGCCACCAACAUUUUGGUGGAAGACUUCCCCCCCUCACCCCUCCAAAGAGGAACAUCUGCUCCUUAGCAUGCUGCUCAUUUCCAUGGCAGGACUCCAGUUGCUCUUCCAACGCAGAGCUCGGCAAUAGUAGCGCUGGUGUCUGA
Aquila chrysaetos chrysaetos is the source of this 2818-nucleotide long non-coding RNA. RefSeq lists it as uncharacterized. The record is from RefSeq and is a predicted model, not a curated record. The transcript has 5 exons. NCBI's taxonomy places the organism in Eukaryota, Metazoa, Chordata, Aves, Accipitriformes, Accipitridae.